UGGGCUGGGGCUCAGUGGUAGAGUGCUUGCCUAGCAUGUGUCAAGCCCUGGGUUCAAAUCCCGGCACCACAU
RNAcentral lists this transfer RNA (72 nucleotides) under Ictidomys tridecemlineatus (thirteen-lined ground squirrel). RNAcentral describes it as "Spermophilus tridecemlineatus (thirteen-lined ground squirrel) tRNA". It matches the Rfam family "tRNA". Rfam says of the family: Transfer RNA (tRNA) molecules are approximately 80 nucleotides in length. Their secondary structure includes four short double-helical elements and three loops (D, anti-codon, and T loops). Further hydrogen bonds mediate the characteristic L-shaped molecular structure. tRNAs have two regions of fundamental functional importance: the anti-codon, which is responsible for specific mRNA codon recognition, and the 3' end, to which the tRNAs corresponding amino acid is attached (by aminoacyl-tRNA synthetases). tRNAs cope with the degeneracy of the genetic code in two manners: having more than one tRNA (with a specific anti-codon) for a particular amino acid; and 'wobble' base-pairing, i.e. permitting non-standard base-pairing at the 3rd anti-codon position. The record is from Rfam by way of RNAcentral. Lineage: Eukaryota; Metazoa; Chordata; Mammalia; Rodentia; Sciuridae.